RNAcentral lists this ribosomal RNA (857 nucleotides) under uncultured bacterium. RNAcentral describes it as "bacterial SSU rRNA". It matches the Rfam family "Bacterial small subunit ribosomal RNA", at positions 8 to 853 of the family's 1533-position model. The record is from RNAcentral.
AGAGUUUGAUCAUGGCUCAGAUUGAACGCUGGCGGCAGGCUUUAACACAUGCAAGUCGAACGGUAACAGGAAGGAAGCUUGCUUUCUUUGCUGACGAGUGGCGGACGGGUGAGUAAUGCUUGGGAAUCUGGCUUAUGGAGGGGGAUAACUACGGGAAACUGUAGCUAAUACCGCGUAAUAUCUUCGGAUUAAAGGGUGGGACUUUCGGGCCACCUGCCAUAAGAUGAGCCCAAGUGGGAUUAGGUAGUUGGUGGGGUAAAGGCCUACCAAGCCGACGAUCUCUAGCUGGUCUGAGAGGAUGACCAGCCACACUGGAACUGAGACACGGUCCAGACUCCUACGGGAGGCAGCAGUGGGGAAUAUUGCACAAUGGGGGGAACCCUGAUGCAGCCAUGCCGCGUGAAUGAAGAAGGCCUUCGGGUUGUAAAGUUCUUUCGGUGAUGAGGAAGGUGUUUGUUUUAAUAGAACAAGCAAUUGACGUUAGUCACAGAAGAAGCACCGGCUAACUCCGUGCCAGCAGCCGCGGUAAUACGGAGGGUGCGAGCGUUAAUCGGAAUGACUGGGCGUAAAGGGCACGCAGGCGGUGACUUAAGUGAGAUGUGAAAGCCCCGAGCUUAACUUGGGAAUUGCAUUUCAUACUGGGUCGCUAGAGUAUUUUAGGGAGGGGUAGAAUUCCACGUGUAGCGGUGAAAUGCGUAGAGAUGUGGAGGAAUACCGAAGGCGAAGGCAGCCCCUUGGGAAUAUACUGACGCUCAUGUGCGAAAGCGUGGGGAGCAAACAGGAUUAGAUACCCUGGUAGUCCACGCUGUAAACGCUGUUGAUUUGGGGAUUGGGCUUAGAGCUUGGUGCCCGUAGCU